GAUGAACGCUGGCGGCGUGCCUAAUACAUGCAAGUAGAACGCUGAAGGAGGAGCUUGCUCUUCUGGAUGAGUUGCGAACGGGUGAGUAACGCGUAGGUAACCUGCCUGGUAGCGGGGGAUAACUAUUGGAAACGAUAGCUAAUACCGCAUGACAACAGUUAUUGCAUGAUAACUGUUUAAAAGGGGCAACUGCUCCACUACCAGAUGGACCUGCGUUGUAUUAGCUAGUUGGUGAGGUAACGGCUCACCAAGGCGACGAUACAUAGCCGACCUGAGAGGGUGAUCGGCCACACUGAGACUGAGACACGGCCCAGACUCCUACGGGAGGCAGCAGUAGGGAAUCUUCGGCAAUGGACGGAAGUCUGACCGAGCAACGCCGCGUGAGUGAAGAAGGUUUUCGGAUCGUAAAGCUCUGUUGUAAGAGAAGAACGAAUGUGAGAGUGGAAAGUUCACACUGUGACGGUAUCUUACCAGAAAGGGACGGCUAACUACGUG
RNAcentral lists this ribosomal RNA (495 nucleotides) under uncultured bacterium. RNAcentral's name for it is "partial 16S ribosomal RNA". It matches the Rfam family "Bacterial small subunit ribosomal RNA", at positions 28 to 507 of the family's 1533-position model. The record is from RNAcentral.